Molecule: ribosomal RNA, 322 nt
Filed under: uncultured Oscillospiraceae bacterium
Lineage: Bacteria; Bacillati; Bacillota; Clostridia; Eubacteriales; Oscillospiraceae
Description: partial 16S ribosomal RNA
Source: RNAcentral
GGAGUCUGGGCCGUAUCUCAGUCCCAAUGUGGCCGUUCAACCUCUCAGUCCGGAACUACUGAUCGUCGCCUUGGUAGGCCGUUACCCCACCAACUAGCUAAUCGGACGCGAGCCCAUCUAUUAGCGGAUUGCUCCUUUUCUGACUAAAUCAUGCGAUUCUAUCAGCUUAUGCGGUAUUAGCAGUGAUUUCUCACUGUUAUUCCCCUCUAAUAGGCAGGUUGCUCACGCGUUACUCACCAGUCCGCCACUAACCGCUCUCAAAGUAAACUUCGAGUUAAGUCCGUUCGACUUGCAUGUCUUAUGUGCGCCGCCAGCGUUUAUC